Molecule: ribosomal RNA, 429 nt
Filed under: uncultured bacterium
Lineage: Bacteria
Description: bacterial SSU rRNA
Rfam family: Bacterial small subunit ribosomal RNA
Source: RNAcentral
AAGAACUUUACCAGGUCUUGACAUCUUUUGAUCACCUGAGAGAUCAGGUUUCCCCUUCGGGGGCAAAAUGACAGGUGGUGCAUGGUUGUCGUCAGCUCGUGUCGUGAGAUGUUGGGUUAAGUCCCGCAACGAGCGCAACCCUUAUGACUAGUUGCCAGCAUUUAGUUGGGCACUCUAGUAAGACUGCCGGUGACAAACCGGAGGAAGGUGGGGAUGACGUCAAAUCAUCAUGCCCCUUAUGACCUGGGCUACACACGUGCUACAAUGGAUGGUACAACGAGUUGCGAGACCGCGAGGUCAAGCUAAUCUCUUAAAGCCAUUCUCAGUUCGGACUGUAGGCUGCAACUCGCCUACACGAAGUCGGAAUCGCUAGUAAUCGCGGAUCAGCACGCCGCGGUGAAUACGUUCCCGGGUCUUGUACACACCGCC